Molecule: ribosomal RNA, 253 nt
Filed under: uncultured bacterium
Lineage: Bacteria
Description: partial 16S ribosomal RNA
Rfam family: Bacterial small subunit ribosomal RNA
Source: RNAcentral
UACGUAGGGUGCGAGCGUUGUCCGGAAUUAUUGGGCGUAAAGAGCUCGUAGGCGGUUCGUCGCGUCGAAUGUGAAAACCCGGGGCUCAACUCCGGGCCUGCAUUCGAUACGGGCGGACUAGAGUUCGGUAGGGGAGACUGGAAUUCCUGGUGUAGCGGUGAAAUGCGCAGAUAUCAGGAGGAACACCGGUGGCGAAGGCGGGUCUCUGGGCCGAUACUGACGCUGAGGAGCGAAAGCAUGGGGAGCGAACAGG